RNAcentral lists this ribosomal RNA (1095 nucleotides) under Glomeraceae sp. Its description in RNAcentral is "SSU rRNA". It matches the Rfam family "Eukaryotic small subunit ribosomal RNA", at positions 174 to 1271 of the family's 1831-position model. Lineage: Eukaryota; Fungi; Glomeromycota; Glomeromycetes; Glomerales; Glomeraceae. The record is from RNAcentral.
UAAAAUUCCCGACUUCUGGAAGGGAUGUAUUUAUUAGAUAAAAAACCAAUAUCGGGAAACCGAUUCCCUUGGUGAUUCAUAAUAACUUUUCGAAUCGUGCGACUCUAUGUUGACGAUGAAUCAUUCAAAUUUCUGCCCUAUCAACCUUCGAUGGUAGGAUAGAGGCCUACCAUGGUGGUAACGGGUAACGGGGUGUUAGGGCACUACACCGGAGAGGGAGCCUGAGAAACGGCUACCACAUCCAAGGAUGGCAGCAGGCGCGCAAAUUACCCAAUCCCGACACGGGGAGGUAGUGACAAUAAAUAACAAUACGGGGUUCUUUAGGAUCUCGUAAUUGGAAUGAGUACAAUUUAAAUCUCUUAACGAGGAACAAUUGGAGGGCAAGUCUGGUGCCAGCAGCCGCGGUAAUUCCAGCUCCAAUAGCGUAUAUUAAAGUUGUUGCAGUUAAAAAGCUCGUAGUCGAAUUUCGGGACCAAUCUGCCGGUCGUGCCUCCGGUACGCACUGGUUUUAUUGGUUUCUCCCUUCUGACGAACCAUGAUGUCAUUAAUUUGGUGUCAUGGGGAAUCAGGACUGUUACUUUGAAAAAAUUAGAGUGUUUAUAGCAGGCUCACGCUUGAAUACAUUAGCAUGGAAUAAUGAAAUAGGACGUUUGACCCUAUUUUGUUGGUUUCUAGGAUCGACGUAAUGAUUAAUAGGGAUAGUUGGGGGCAUUAGUAUUCAAUUGUCAGAGGUGAAAUUCUUGGAUUUAUUGAAGACUAACUACCGCGAAAGCAUUUGCCAAGGAUGUUUUCAUUAAUCAAGAACGAAAGUUAGGGGAUCGAAGACGAUCAGAUACCGUCGUAGUCUUAACCAUAAACUAUGCCGACUAGGGAUCGGAUGAUGUUAAUUUUUUAAUGACUCAUUCGGCGCCUUACGGGAAACCAAAGUGUUUGGGUUCCGGGGGGAGUAUGGUCGCAAGGCUGAAACUUAAAGGAAUUGACGGAAGGGCACCACCAGGGGUGGAGCCUGCGGCUUAAUUUGACUCAACACGGGGAAACUCACCAGGUCCAGACAUAGUAAGGAUUGACAGAUUGAGAGCUCUUUCUUGAUUCUAU